Molecule: long non-coding RNA, 928 nt
Organism: Apis cerana (Asiatic honeybee)
Lineage: Eukaryota; Metazoa; Arthropoda; Insecta; Hymenoptera; Apidae
Source: RefSeq, a predicted model, not a curated record
UACAUUGAUAAUAUAUUGUCCUUUAAAAACACUUUUAAAAAGGUUAAGAAAAAAGGUUAGGAAAAUUUUUGACAAAUCCUGUUAAUCACAUAGGAAAAAGAAUCGACGAUUUCUUACGAUUCACUUAUGACACAUUAACCAUCGAGGACACAAAGAAAAUUAAAGAUCGACGACAACCACGUGAACGGAUCAUGGCUUUGUUCUUACCGCGAACAAAGAGACAUUUUAAUGAGCACGCGGCUAAAGCAUCGGGUUAAUCGAAUGUUUGUGGGUAAACCAAAAGAUCGACUCGCAUUGCGCGCGCAGCAUAAUAAUGGCCGCCGAAAAUCAUGCGAGGGAAAGGCGGAAACCUUGGUCGAUUCUUCUAUGGGGAAAAGUGUGCAUAAACGGAAUAACGACAAUACUUUGAAUAUUUAAGAGAACAAAAGGGAAUAGAUAAUCAGACACAUCACUCCUCGGAUAAAACAUGAACACUAAACAUUCUCUAUCGGGAAUAAAAGAAGAUACAAUGGGUAAGAAAGUACCAGGAAACAAGAUUAUGUCUCCGUGACUUUGCUGCCGAUUGAAUACUUACUGAUUCCCGCGCAUCACGUUCCAUCGACAAAUCGAAAGCUUUGAGUUCUGAGAAUAGUUUGAUGUGCUUAUAACAGAUAAUCCUUUGAACGAAGUUGUAUUUUACUGUUUUAUGGCUUCUUUUGAAAGGAAUUUUAACUGUUAAUUAUAAUGAUUCGAGUUACUGAUAAAGAGUAUCAAAAAAGAGUAAUAUAAAAUUUUUUAUUUAAAUAAUUUUUUAAAAUGAAAAGAUUAAAAAAAUUAAAUGCAAAUAUAUAACAGAUAAAUAGAUACUUUAUUUCUAACAAUUUAGUAUAAAAAUCACUUAUAAGUUAAUGUGAUCACGAAUAAAUAAAUAUAUACAAAAACAAAUAAA